UCAGCUGGCUGGUUACUUUGUAGUGGAGUCCAUGAUUACCCAUCAUGCAUCUGUGCAUUGAAACGACCAAGUUACAAGAAUAAACAAGAAAUUUGUGGGUAGUCUGGGUACAUUUUUAAAGUAGUCAAGUACAGGUAUGAGGUAAAAGUUUAUUUAGCAGCAGACCUUCAUGUUUGGAGGUUUUAUCUUGUUCUGAAAGUAAAAAUAAAACCGCUAAGGAGAAGUGGGCGGACCAGAGGGCUAUAAAGACUGCUGUGAGACAGUGUGCUAGUGUCCUAGUUCUCUAGGACAUAUACUAAAAUUGGAACGAUACAGAGAAGAUUAGCAUGGCCCCUGCGCAAGGAUGACACGCAAAUUCGUGAAGCGUUCCUCAUUUUCUCCUUCGCCAGAAGAAAAAAAUCUGUGGAAAAAAUCCCGGUGUUCUGUCAGAUAGCCACACAUGUCAGAACAGCCUACAUAUUGUGCAUGCGCAUUCUGCAGGAGGUCUGUGAUAUUGAGUGGUGCAGCUCGUCGUACGCGAGAAGAGAAAACAAAACCCAAUUAAAAGUAAGUAAAUAAAUCAUAUUUAAUGCUGCUGCAGCUGCAGUAAACUACAAAACGCGCCCUGUUUAAAUUCAAGUUCCCCAGUUCAUUGAUAUUUUUGGGUUGGAUAACACGUCUGCUAGCUUGGAUACAGUGAUGGCUUUCCAGGUAGGACUUCGACACAUAGGUUUAUUAGGAUUUCUUCUAAUUCUUAAAUGUUGAAUUUGAAUGGUCUGUGUAUUUUUUUAACUUUCCUUAUCCCCCCCCCCCCACCCUCCCAGACUGUACAGGCAGAAACCGUAUCGGUAUGAAAACACAUUUCUUUACCCACACUGAAACUGGGGCAAAACCAGUGUUUUACUUUUGAAACAAAUCCUUAUCUUUAUUAAUGUAUAUGAAAAGCAUUCAUGUUAAGUUAGUUUUUAUAUGUGCUUUACAUUUACAUAUAUUAAGAUUUUGCAAAUUGAGGUUGCUUUUGGAACAUGAAGGCUUUUCUGGUUAACAGAUCUCAUACCCGAGUACAACCCCCUGGGUUAUGUAGCCAACAGUCACUAUCAGUGUGACUGUUGCUUCAAUUAAAAGACAGAAGAUGUUGUUGAGUCACUUGAAGUCCCUGUGUCCACCGUGCGUUGCCAGGAAGGACAUGGCGUCCACCAGUGUUGUCAAUAAAAAUUGGGAUCUGUCAAUUGCAUUUAAACUCGCUGUUGUGUUUUCUGCAGUAUUUCAAGAAUUGCAUUGUUGGAUGCACAUGCAUAAACACGUAGAUUAGAAGGUUUCUUGUAUUACAUUGGAAUUAAAAAGGGUGAAUAUUAAGAAGCUUUCACUACAAACUUUAUUUUGUUUAGUUUUGUAUUUCUUGUCUUAAAAGCCAAUAUUUCGCAGAAAUGUCAUUGUUGCAGCACCAGUUGGCGUGUUUAGUAGCAGGAGUAGGUGUGUUGUCUAAUGAAUUGUCUUGUUUAAAUGCCUGUUGAUGCAAUUUACAUGUUUUUCUUGUGUCAUUUAUAGCAAACAUGGAGUUCAAAUGGGGUGAGGUCUUCAAUUUUAUUUCUGAAGGACAGAGGCAAACUUUGGGGAGGUAUGCCGUAAAAUUUAGCAUCCAUGGUAAGUUUUUUAUAUCUUAAAUAAACAUAAAAUUUUUGACAACAAUAUUGACAUAAUGUGGUCAUUGUUUUAAUACAGCUGGGGACCUAUUCUACGGAGCCUUACCCGAAAGAAGGGCUGUACGGUCCAAAGAAGAGGCCUGGAACUUCUUCAAGGAGUUUCAUGCAUCCCCCAUGGGAGGACAACUGGCAUCGUCAAAACAAGCAGUGCCAUGUGUUCCCGAUUCUAUUGGCCCGGUAUGACAGCAGACAUUAAGAAAUGGGUGUCUCAAUGUGACCGGUGCCAAAGAGUUGGACAUCCCCUCCAAGUUGUCAGGGAACUUGAGUGCAUAAAGGUAACCAUCCACAGUGAUUCCUGAAGUUUACCACCUCUAGGACAUUGUUGCUCAUAACAUUGUAAUCAUCCCCAUUAGGUGUCAGGGGUUUGGGAGCUGAUUGGAAUUGAUCUGACAGGUCCCUUGCCCCUGACAUCUUGUGGUAAUCAGUGUAUCCUGACAGCUACAGAUUAUUUCUCUAAAUGGGUGGAGGCUUUCCCCCUCAAGACUAAGACCGCUGAGGAAGUCUGUCAAAAAUUAUGUUCUAUAUUUUACCGGCACGGCUGUCGAGAAUUUGUGAACACAAUGAAUAGUAGACUCUGAUCUACUUUCAGUACAGAGAAGAAUCACUGCAGCCUAUCAUCCUCAAACCAACGGCUUGGAUGAAAAGACAAAUGACAGCAUUAAGCGGUAAGAAAGUUAUUAGAAAAAUUAAAUGUUUUUUGUUUUGUUUUAUAUUUUUUAAGUUGCUUUUCAUUGCAACAUGUUUCUGUAGGUUUAUAUCAAUGUACAGCUUGUUAUAGCUAUGUCAUACCAUAAGAAAUGCAACACAUAAGCAACUCUUACAAAUUGGAGUAUGUUCUUAGGACAUGUGUGAAACUGUUCUUCUAGGGCACUGAGAAAACUUAUCAACGACAAGGAAGAUGACUGGGACAUGUUCCUUAACUUUGUUUUCCUUAAGGUCGAAAACCCACACCACCACAAAAUACUCGCCAUUUUUUCUGAUGUAUGGCAGAGAGGCAAGGUUUCCUUCUGAAGUUCCUGUUGACAUGCCGGUACAAUUCUGCUACAUUAUAUGAGUUUACAAACUCAUGUAGUGUUUUUGCAUGGAAAUUUAUGUGUAUUAAGGUUUCAAGUUUUUACAUCAUGUUAAAAUGUCAGUACUUCCUCUAAAACAUACCUGCAUUAGCCAACACUAACACUACAGUCUUCCAGAUUAGUAGGAAUGAGUAAUCGGAAAAUAACAGGUGAGACUGAGUUAUCCCACAGUCUACCUCUCAGUGACAAAUAGUUAUAAAGGCUGAAGUGAAAAAUGUUGGAUAGACUGAUGAAGCACACAAAAUCUUCUGUAGAUUGGAGGACGAAUCAGGGAGAUAUUGCUGUUGAAACAGUCCAGGGGGCGCUGUGGAGUCAAACUCCAACAGAAGCGUGUCAACAUCAUUCAGAUCCACUUUUUUCUGUCACCAGAUGUAGUUUGAAAUUUCUGUGUCAGAGUGUAAAGAACAAUGUCAUCAGCAAAAUAGUUGACUGCCAAGGCAUUUGGGGGCGGGGCUAAGGUGAUGUCACCAACUGGCCAUGUGACCGUGAUGAGCGCUGCUCUGACAGAAAUUUUCAUAGAGCUGGGAGCUUGUUUGUGGGAGUUAUUUCACCGUGUUUCAUGGCAAAUAGUCCGAUUUUGAGUCUUGGAAAUGCCCACAUGCUUCAUUGCAGAAGAAAGCUUUUGAUAGCUUUUCAUCUCCAACACCUCCAGAGUGUGCUGAGUAAUUCUACAAUCUGCAUGUCAAAACUUGUAAUACGAGUUUGCUAAGAUACAUAUGUAAAAGAGACAGAUGGUGAGUUUGAUCCUGGGAUCCCGGCCUGGGCUCCUGGAUUUGGUUGGCCCUCAUGGAUCCCUGUACUCUGUCCUUGGGAUCCAUGAGGCCACCAAUUACCAGAGUGAGUUGGACCGGAGGAAGCUGACCCUCCACAAGACAUUGGUGGAUACCCUUGGAGACUCAAGCAAAAUUACUUUUGUCCAACUGUAUGUGGACUCCCCUCACGUCCACAUACAGAUGCCUUACAGGCAUCCAGUCAGCAGGGCACUGGUUACCUGUCGGUAAUCUCACCCUCAAUUCCAGCGGGCCUGAUGUUCACAUUGCUCACAUGUACUACCCCAAGGAUAAGAUGGAGCUCCAGCUUGCCCUUAGGCUCGAGCAGGUCCGCCGAUUUGAGGGUGAGAUACCGUCAGAACUUGUCCCAAGGAGGUUCUUUUGCAUCUCUGCAUUAAGAAUGCACUUUGUGGACAAUGCUCUAGUCAUCCCGUUUGAGGACAGCGGGAGGGACAGUGGUCUGAUGGUCGCUCUUCGGAUGGUCUUCCAGUACUUUGUGGAGUCACUUGAGGGACUGUACUCCAGCAAUGAGGGGGUGACGAGGUAUGACGCCUGCUGGAAGUCAUACCAGUUUGAGCUGGCUUUAGAGGAGCUCUUUUAUGUGCGUACUCUAUCACCGUCUGACUUCCAGCUCAGCGUCAGCCUCGGGACCAACACGGUCAACCUGACCCACAGGAGGGGCUUUAUCGGGUUGGCCCCUCACUCGGCAGCAAGUGCUGGUGAGGUCCCACCCCCUCUGCACCAUUGGACAUGCAAUGCACUCCAGACAGUUCAUCUGGAGCGCAUUUUCCCUGUGUGCCAGGUGUUGGAGGCAGUCCCAGCUGUUCUUGGUGCUGCGCUCAUCCACCUGUUGCUUUGACAUCUUAAGGAGGAAUGAAAUCCCCUGGGAGACUCAGCGGGAGCAUCAACCUGGAGGUGUUCGCAGAUGACCUAAGCACCAAGAACAGCUUCCCUGUGCCCCUCACAUCUGGCACAUUUGGUCCAGACCGGCAGAGAUCCCCAUAAGUGCCUUUUGGUGGGCUCUCCAAGGUUGCCACGGCAACACUGCAGGUGUGCACAGAGGUGGAGCGGCAGUCAUUGAGCUACUCCAGGAACCUGGAGAAGUACCGUGACCAUGUGAUGCCAUGGAUGGUCAAGGUGCUUCAAAGGGUUCCGGAGAAAGUAGAUGCUGCCCUCCGCCUCAAAGUACUCACCUUUGCUAGCGCAAUAGGGAUGAUCAUGAACGUGCACUAUGUUGAUUAAAAACAUCUCCAAAGUCUCCUUUAUGAAAUGACUCCCAUAAGCUAGGCAAUUCUCCAGAGGUGGGAAAUCCUCUCAGAGUUCAACCUCCCGAGGGUUUUCAACUUCAUGGUGUAGAAACGCCAUGAAGAUAUUACUCACCAGCUGCAGGUGCCAGCAAAACCCAAAUUCAAGGCACCACAAGAGGCACCUAACGAGCAGCCGUACAAGGAUGUCCAAGAAGUUGAGGACCAAGACGACAUUCCACUUUCAAGUGUUCUUCUUGAAAUUUUUCAUAGGUUCGUGUGUUAUUUUCAUUCAUAAAACUUAAAAAUAAAAUCCCUCACAUGGACUUUGCCUUGACAUGGUUUGAGGGCUUAAGUGUCUACUUCAGACACAACCAAAGAGUCCAAGGUUAGGAUGAGAGGUUUGAGCCUGUCCUCGAGAUGGGACAGGAAAUGCACGGUCCAUCCAUCCGUCCCAUCUCGUCUUCUGUGGACAAGAGGGUUCAGUUUGUUUCCCCUCCUAUGCAUCACCAGAGUCCAACCAUCCUGUCGUUCCAUUGUUUUUGUUUUUAAUAAUCCUUUCAGCUUUAUUUCUUAAUCAAUAAUGUGUUAUAGGUGCUAUUUAUGAAUUGUGUGUAUAUG
Poecilia latipinna (sailfin molly) is the source of this 5390-nucleotide long non-coding RNA. RefSeq lists it as uncharacterized. NCBI's taxonomy places the organism in Eukaryota, Metazoa, Chordata, Actinopteri, Cyprinodontiformes, Poeciliidae. The transcript is spliced from 3 exons. The record is from RefSeq and is a predicted model, not a curated record.